Molecule: long non-coding RNA, 206 nt
Organism: Ornithodoros turicata
Lineage: Eukaryota; Metazoa; Arthropoda; Arachnida; Ixodida; Argasidae
Exons: 2
Source: RefSeq, a predicted model, not a curated record
CUGUGGUGCUGUCAUGGCCGGUGCACCCAUUCGACCGGUGGUCCCUGAGGCUGCUCCCAUAGGCCGAAGAACAGAAGAUCAACAUUCAAGAUCAAGUAUCUGAAUCCCCCAAAUCCUCGCAAACGUUUCCCUCUUCUACGUCGAUCGCCAACGCCAUAACACACUCCCCCACCAGGGUGGACACCAUUAAACGCAUUGAGAUUGCA